This 292-nucleotide ribosomal RNA is filed under the name uncultured bacterium. RNAcentral describes it as "partial 16S ribosomal RNA". It matches the Rfam family "Bacterial small subunit ribosomal RNA", at positions 505 to 796 of the family's 1533-position model. The record is from RNAcentral.
GUGCCAGCAGCCGCGGUAAUACGUAGGGGGCAAGCGUUGUCCGGAAUCAUUGGGCGUAAAGGGCGCGUAGGCGGAUAGUUAAGUCUGAUGUGAAAUACCAGGGCUCAACCCUGGGGCUGCAUCGGAAACUGGUUAUCUUGAGGACAGGAGAGGAAAGUGGAAUUCCACGUGUAGCGGUGAAAUGCGUAGAUAUGUGGAGGAACACCAGUGGCGAAGGCGACUUUCUGGACUGUAACUGACGCUGAGGCGCGAAAGCGUGGGGAGCAAACAGGAUUAGAUACCCCAGUAGUCC